UACGGAAGGCAGCAGUGGGGAAUAUUGCACAAUGGGCGCAAGCCUGAUGCAGCCAUGCCGCGUGUAUGAAGAAGGCCUUCGGGUUGUAAAGUACUUUCAGUCGUGAGGAAGGUGUUAAGGUUAAUAACCUUAGCAAUUGACGUUAGCGACAGAAGAAGCACCGGCUAACUCCGUGCCAGCAGCCGCGGUAAUACGGAGGGUGCGAGCGUUAAUCGGAAUUACUGGGCGUAAAGGGCACGCAGGCGGUUAAUUAAGUUGGAUGUGAAAUCCCCGGGCUUAACCUGGGAAUGGCAUUCAAGACUGGUUAGCUAGAGUCUUGUAGAGGGGGUAGAAUUCCACGUGUAGCGGUGAAAUGCGUAGAGAUGUGGAGGAAUACCGGUGGCGAAGGCGGCCCCUGGACAAAGACUGACGCUCAUGUGCGAAAGCGUGGGGAGCAAAC
This 439-nucleotide ribosomal RNA is filed under the name uncultured bacterium. RNAcentral describes it as "bacterial SSU rRNA". It matches the Rfam family "Bacterial small subunit ribosomal RNA", at positions 340 to 773 of the family's 1533-position model. The record is from RNAcentral.